AGGCUGAAAUUGAAUAUUCUACUCAGGGACUCUAGACACCGUAAGUAGAAAGGGCAGUGAAAAGAGGGUUAUCAUCCUCCAGGCCCCAGGUCCACACUCACCUCCAUACCGAUCUGCUCCCCCUGUGAGCUCAUGCCUUGCUGGCUUGUUGGCUGAGUUUUGGGGUUCUGGCUGGGAGAGGAGUUCUGGACAACUUAAUGCACACACACACACACACACGUACUAUUCAUCCAGCUGGAGUGAGACGCC
Pelobates cultripes (western spadefoot toad) is the source of this 249-nucleotide non-coding RNA. The record is from the annotation of a GenBank genome assembly. NCBI's taxonomy places the organism in Eukaryota, Metazoa, Chordata, Amphibia, Anura, Pelobatidae.